This 1033-nucleotide ribosomal RNA is filed under the name uncultured bacterium. Its description in RNAcentral is "bacterial SSU rRNA". It matches the Rfam family "Bacterial small subunit ribosomal RNA". The record is from RNAcentral.
CCGAGNNNNNNCCGACAGCUCGGAGGAUCGAGCGUAUCGGAUUAUUGGGCUUAAGGGUGCGUAGGCGGCCUCUUUUAGGAGCGGUGAAAGUCUGUGGCUCAACCAUAGAAUUGCCGUUGAAACUGGGGGGCUUGAGUAUGUUUGAGGCAGGCGGAAUGCGUGGUGUAGCGGUGAAAUGCUUAGAUAUCACGCAGAACCCCGAUUGCGAAGGCAGCCUGCCAAGCCAUGACUGACGCUGAUGCACGAAAGCGUGGGGAUCAAACAGGAUUAGAUACCCUGGUAGUCCACGCAGUAAACGAUGAUCACUAGCUGUUUGCGAUACAUUGUAAGCGGCACAGCGAAAGCGUUAAGUGAUCCACCUGGGGAGUACACCGGCGACGGUGAAACUCAAAGGAAUUGACGGGGGCCCGCACAAGCGGAGGAACAUGUGGUUUAAUUCGAUGAUACGCGAGGAACCUUACCCGGGUUUGAACGCAUUUCGACAGCUCUGGAAACAGAGCCUCUAGCAAUAGCGAUUUGCGAGGUGCUGCAUGGUUGUCGUCAGCUCGUGCCGUGAGGUGUCGGCUUAAGUGCCAUAACGAGCGCAACCCUUGCCACUAGUUACUAACAGGUAAAGCUGAGGACUCUGGUGGGACUGCCAGCGUAAGCUGCGAGGAAGGCGGGGAUGACGUCAAAUCAGCACGGCCCUUACAUCCGGGGCGACACACGUGUUACAAUGGCGUGGACAAAGGGAAGCCACCUGGCGACAGGGAGCGAAUCCCCAAACCACGUCUCAGUUCGGAUCGGAGUCUGCAACCCGACUCCGUGAAGCUGGAUUCGCUAGUAAUCGCGCAUCAGCCAUGGCGCGGUGAAUACGUUCCCGGGCCUUGUACACACCGCCCGUCAAGCCAUGGGAGCCGGGGGUACCUGAAGUCCGUAACCGAAAGGAUCGGCCUAGGGUAAAACUGGUGACUGGGGCUAAGUGGUAACAAGGUAGCCGUAAGGGCGAAUUCGUCCUUUAUGGGGGACUAGUCCCUUUACCAGGCUAAUCUGA